UAUUUUGAAUAACUAUUGUAGCUACAUUAUAUUGAUUUCUUUUUCGGCGCAUUCUUGCAACUACUUUUGUUAUGCCCUUCACCUCCACAAUUGCCACAUGAAACCUUGUACUUCAUUGAGUUUAUUUCAUCAAUUUUUUUAUAUCAUUCCUUGUGAGGUCUACCUGGCUGCCUUUUAUCUCCAGCCGGUGGUUUUACUACAUCAUCCAAAAUAUGUUGUGGAACAUCCCAUUUGGCUUCAUCAGGAAGAGGAUUAACUGGCAAUUCAUAUGUAAGAAAAAGGCUCUUCGUUGUGUAAUACGGAGAGCAAUAGUUGUCUGGCCUUUUAUUCAUAUGCCUUAAUGCUGCCAAAGCAUGUGCACAUGGAAGUUCAUCAAGUUGGAAUUGUCCACAGCUACAUUUCUUGUUUU
This 409-nucleotide long non-coding RNA is filed under the name Nicotiana benthamiana. Its description in RNAcentral is "long non-coding RNA (NBEN_LNC029082)". The record is from RNAcentral. Lineage: Eukaryota; Viridiplantae; Streptophyta; Magnoliopsida; Solanales; Solanaceae.